UUUUUUUUUUUCAGACAUUCUUUAUUUUAGUUUUCUCUGUGGUUGAAGAGUACGGCGCACAUUUUCCCCUUUUAGCCAUGCGUGAGUCUAAAUGGCUUUUAUGGAGAGAUUAGCACACCCCGACUUUAAUACAAGGUUUCCUUUUUUUAAGGAUGUGUUUGUAUACUUUCUGGACUUUUGAAUUAAAAAAAAUAUAUAUUAUGAUCUUAAAGGGAUCACUGUAGAUGUGGACAAAUCAUUAAAGAGUGCAGAGAUAUAUGAUCCAUAACUGGUUAGUGAAAAUAACUUAUUGAUGAAAUAUAAAAAAAUAUUUUAUUGUAGCACCUAUUUUUAUAUGCACAUUAGCAUUUCUCUUUCCUUCACUAUUUUAGGGCCUAAUCUUGCAAAUUUUUAACUCAUUUGAACUCACUCAUUGAGCAAAGUUUGUCAAAAGCCCAAAAAAUUAGGAUAGAGUAUGCAUUCUUACAAGUAAAAAUUAUUGGAAUGUUUGAGUGUUUUUUUUUUGUUUGUUUUUUGUUUUUUUUUCAGGAUGGGGUCCAAAGGUUGUGGAUUGCUUUAAAGUAUUGCACUACAGUGAGAGCUUUUUUCCCAAAUAUGAUAUAGUAUCAGAAAGAACUUUUAAAUCUCUAUAGAUAAUGCCAGUUAUGACCAAAUCUUAACAGACAAUCUGAGAUAUAAAAUCUGAUCACAGUAGGAAAAAAAAUCAUGUUUCUCUAUUGAAAAAAUGUGUCUUUUAGCAACCUCCUGCUCAGGAGUCUGGUUGGGCAAACUAGUGAGGGAAAUGUAGAAGGCAUUCUAAGUUUCAUUUUUGAUUUGUUGGUUUCAUUUUUUUCUUUUUUUCUUUUAAAUCUUGUAUUAGUUAACCAAAAUACAAUGAUUUUGCAACUGUUGUAGCCAGAUUAUGAUUGUUCAGUCAAGUACAAUUGCACUUGUACAGAUCCACACGUUUACUGGCAUCCUGAAAGACCAAAUGAUGGACUGUACACAUCUCUAUAAAAUGUCUUUACCCCUUUGGGCAGCAGGCAAUGGCAAGGAUAUUCAUAAAUACAGCAUCACUGUAAGAUGGGACAACUGAUGUCUCAUAUGUAUCCCAGCACAUGUGAUUUUUUAAUAGUUUCUGAAUAAACACUUGGUAAAUAUUUCAAAUGUAAGAUCCUGAAGUAAUGAGUAUCUGAACUUUAAAAAUUUCUGGCCAAAAUAAUCUGUUUGUACAUUGGAUUCUCUUUACUAGCAAUUAAGGCUCAUCAAAAAGAUCUAACAUUUCUAGGCAAAAUAUAAUGUGUUCUCUGUUUUUGAAACAUGACAUGUGGUAAUUACCAGCAUAUAUAACGUGGGUCAGAAAGCAACACAGGAAUAUAUGUUUCAACAACAUAUUGAAGAGGAAUAGUUUUAUACUUACAUUUUGUUUCCUUACAAUGUAAAAGAGGUGUUCUUUAAUAUAUGGAACAGGGUAAGUGAUAUUUCACAUGUGUUUUCUUUUUUCAUUAGGUUAUUAUAUUUAAUACUGUUUCCAGAGUUGCUCACUAGUACAUCUUUUAUUGCAAAAGGGCUCUGUUCUAUUCUGCUUUUCCUACCCAUGUACAAUCUGUCACUUUCUACAAAAACAAAGCUGUAUAACUGGUCUGUUGGAAUUCAAGAAAAAUGUUUUCUUGGCGUGUGUUCUUCCCUCUAUGCCACCCACACUGAGCAAAAGCAAAAAAAAAUCAAAAAAUAAGCAUGACUGUAUUUAGCUUGGACAGUUUAGUAAGUGGAGUGUUAUUUCAGUUUGAAAUGCAGAGUUGAGGAGUGUUCUUUUGUCACAAGAGACAUAACAAAUGGCUAUUCUGUUCACUGCUCUCCAUCUCCUGCACACUUCCCAUUGACACCAGUGAGAGAUGUUGUGUGUGGCUGCCUGAGUGCUGUUUUGGACUCCUAACUUUGAA
Taeniopygia guttata (zebra finch) is the source of this 1922-nucleotide long non-coding RNA. Lineage: Eukaryota; Metazoa; Chordata; Aves; Passeriformes; Estrildidae. The record is from Ensembl.